UACGUAGGGUGCGAGCGUUGUCCGGAAUUAUUGGGCGUAAAGGGCUCGUAGGCGGUUUGUCGCGUCGGGAGUGAAAACCUUGGGCUUAACUCAGGGCUUGCUUUCGAUACGGGCAGACUAGAGGUAUGCAGGGGAGAACGGAAUUCCUGGUGUAGCGGUGAAAUUCGUAGAUAUCGGGAGGAACACCAGUGGCGAAGGCGGGUCUCUGGGCCGAGUACUGACGCUGAGGAGCGA
This 234-nucleotide ribosomal RNA is filed under the name uncultured bacterium. Its description in RNAcentral is "partial 16S ribosomal RNA". It matches the Rfam family "Bacterial small subunit ribosomal RNA", at positions 524 to 756 of the family's 1533-position model. The record is from RNAcentral.